UACAUAGGGUGCAAGCGUUGUCCGGAAUUAUUGGGCGUAAAGAGCUCGUAGGCGGUUUGUUGCGUCGGCUGUGAAAUCCCGAGGCUCAACCUCGGGUCUGCAGUCGAUACGAGCAAACUAGAGUGUUGCAGGGGAGACUGGAAUUCCUGGUGUAGCGGUGAAAUGCGCAGAUAUCAGGAGGAACACCGGUGGCGAAGGCGGGUCUCUGGGCAACAACUGACGCUGAGGAGCGAAAGCGUGGGGAGCGAACAGG
This 253-nucleotide ribosomal RNA is filed under the name uncultured bacterium. RNAcentral describes it as "partial 16S ribosomal RNA". It matches the Rfam family "Bacterial small subunit ribosomal RNA", at positions 524 to 776 of the family's 1533-position model. The record is from RNAcentral.